Molecule: ribosomal RNA, 465 nt
Filed under: uncultured bacterium
Lineage: Bacteria
Description: partial 16S ribosomal RNA
Rfam family: Bacterial small subunit ribosomal RNA
Source: RNAcentral
GACGAACGCUGGCGGCGUGCUUAACACAUGCAAGUCGAACGGAAAGGCCCCUUUGGGGGUACUCGAGUGGCGAACGGGUGAGUAACACGUGAGUAACUUGCCCUUGACUUCGGGAUAACUUCAGGAAACUGGGGCUAAUACCGGAUAGGAAUCCUUGCCGCAUGGUGGGGGUUGGAAAGCUUCGGCGGUUUUGGAUGGACUCGCGGCUUAUCAGCUUGUUGGUGGGGUAGUGGCUUACCAAGGCAUUGACGGGUAGCCGGCCUGGGGGGGCGACCGGCCACAUUGGGGCUGAGGUACGGCCCAGGCUCCUACGGGGGGCAACAGUGGGGAAUAUUGCACAAUGGGCGGAAGCCUGGUGCAGCAACGCCGCGGGCGGGAUGGCGGGCUUCGGGUUGUAAACCGCUUUCAGCAGGGGCGAAGCUUGUGGUGACGGUACCUGCAGAAGAAGCACCGGCUAACUACGUG